GCCUGGCAGCUUUCUGCUGUGUCCAAAUUCACAUGCCAUCAUUGACUGGCCUCGUCUGUGGCUCCACAGGUAGUUCUGCCUCGCAGCUGCACCUGCUGCUGAUUGCCUGAGCUCAGCUCCUCUGCAAAGCAGGGCAGAAGCACCUCACACACAACUCCUCUGGAGCAGGUGGGACAUACCAGUCAGGCCUAGCUUGAAAAACUCCCAGUGAAGUUCUGCAUGACAGCUACAGAGCAGGUGGCUGUGAGUCCCAAGUCUCCCAAAGCAACACUGCUUCCCAAGGGGAAUUCAGUCCUCACUCAGCCAGGCUGCAAGGUGUGUUUUGAAGGCAGGUGGGCUAAGUGCAUGUGAGGUCACAAUCUUUGUUGAUUCCUACCAAGUUCAGACUUCUCAUGGCCUUCAUAUUAACCUGCAGAGCACUCAGCUGAAGGGCAGUGCACUGCAAGUAUGCCUGUUCAGUCUGGAGAGAGAAUGAAAUCAUGGAACUUUUCAUUAUCAACCUUUCCUUUGGCUGGGAAGAAAAUGAGAUACUACUUUCUGAAAACUAGAACUAAUAAGAAAAACUCCAAGGAGAAAAACCUUUAAAUGGCCUCAAAGAACUGUGAAAAGCACUAUCUCAAGUUGCUCUCUGACUGCCAGAUGUGAUCACCAGGCUGGGAUAUCCUCACGUGUCCUGGAGUGCCCAUGGAAAUCCAGCAACUGCAAUGGUUUGGUGCUACUCAGUGUGACUUAAUUGAGAAUAAAUUUUUCUGCAUAUGACUAACA
Cyanistes caeruleus (blue tit) is the source of this 765-nucleotide long non-coding RNA. The record is from Ensembl. Lineage: Eukaryota; Metazoa; Chordata; Aves; Passeriformes; Paridae.